CCCUGUUUAAGUAUGGUUUAAUAUUCUCUUUAUGCUUACAUGCAUAUGUUCUGUGUGGCCUAUGACCCUGAGUUCUUCAAUGCUUUGCAUAUAAUUUGAAUAUGUUUACUGCUUCGCCUUUUCAAUUAUGUCAAAAGGGGGAAUUUUGUUGUAAAGUUGGUUGUGGAAUUAGGAAGCUGGUUGUGGAAUUAGGGGUACUGAACUAAGGGGGAAUUCAUUGUAUCCUUGAAUGAAUGUUGUUACACU
RNAcentral lists this long non-coding RNA (246 nucleotides) under Solanum tuberosum (potato). RNAcentral describes it as "long non-coding RNA (STUB_LNC009674)". Lineage: Eukaryota; Viridiplantae; Streptophyta; Magnoliopsida; Solanales; Solanaceae. The record is from RNAcentral.